Molecule: ribosomal RNA, 650 nt
Filed under: Sarcocystis sp.
Lineage: Eukaryota; Apicomplexa; Conoidasida; Eucoccidiorida; Sarcocystidae
Description: SSU rRNA
Rfam family: Eukaryotic small subunit ribosomal RNA
Source: RNAcentral
CAGUAUACACACUGGAAUUGUAUUUCUAGUGAUUGGAAUGAUGGGAAUCCAAACCCCUUUCAGAGUAACAAUUGGAGGGCAAGUCUGGUGCCAGCAGCCGCGGUAAUUCCAGCUCCAAUAGCGUAUAUCAAAGUUGUUGCAGUUAAAAAGCUCGUAGUUGGAUAUCUGCUGGAAGCAAUCAGUCCGCCCUUUUCGUAAGGGUGUGCACUUGAUGAAUUCUGGCAUGAUUUCAUCCUAAUAAUAAUAUAUUAUUAUAUGAUGUUGAUUCCUAGUCUAAUAAUAUUUAUUAUUAUGGGGAUGACAGUUACGUUGAGAAGAUUACAGUGUAUGAAGCAAGAUUUUGUUGCCUUGAAUACUGCAGCAAGGAAGAACAAUAUAGGAUUUAGGAUCUAUUAUUUUGAUGGUUUUUUCUGUAAGACUGAAAUAAUGAUUAAUAGGGACAGUUGGGGGAAAUCGUAUUCAACUAUCAGAUGUGAAAUUCUUAGAUUUGAUAAAGACUAACUACUGCGAAAACAUUUGCCGAAGAUGUUUUCAUUAAUCCACAACGAAUGUUAUGGGCUCGGUUACGAUCAUAUACCGUCCUAGUCUUAACCAUACACUAUGCCGACUAGAGAUACUCAAGACGUCACCUUGUUGACAUUCUCAUGCAC